GGACGCAUCACUGGUGUUCGGGUUGUCAUGCCAAUGGCACUGCCCGGUAGCUAAAUGCGGAAGAGAUAAGUGCUGAAAGCAUCUAAGCACGAAACUUGCCCCGAGAUGAGUUCUCCCUGAGACUUUAAGUCUCCUGAAGGAACGUUGAAGACGACGACGUUGAUAGGCCGGGUGUGUAAGCGCAGCGAUGCGUUGAGCUAACCGGUACUAAUGAACCGUGAGGCUUAACCUU
Molecule: ribosomal RNA, 232 nt
Filed under: Klebsiella pneumoniae
Lineage: Bacteria; Pseudomonadati; Pseudomonadota; Gammaproteobacteria; Enterobacterales; Enterobacteriaceae
Also listed under: 8 other names
Description: partial 23S ribosomal RNA
Rfam family: Bacterial large subunit ribosomal RNA
Source: RNAcentral